UGGCGGCAGUAGCGCGGUGGUCCCACCUGACCCCAUGCCGAACUCAGAAGUGAAACGCCGUAGCGCCGAUGGUAGUGUGGGGUCUCCCCAUGCGAGAGUAGGGAACU
This 107-nucleotide ribosomal RNA is filed under the name Escherichia coli. The record is from RNAcentral. Lineage: Bacteria; Pseudomonadati; Pseudomonadota; Gammaproteobacteria; Enterobacterales; Enterobacteriaceae.